GUGAUUUAAGGUUUUCUAACAGUAUUAAAUCUCAGCAGCUAGCUUCCGUCGAAGAUCCUGAAUGGUUUUGUCACUUUAGUAAACACAACACAG
Molecule: long non-coding RNA, 93 nt
Organism: Brassica rapa (field mustard)
Lineage: Eukaryota; Viridiplantae; Streptophyta; Magnoliopsida; Brassicales; Brassicaceae
Source: RefSeq, a predicted model, not a curated record